AAUGGGCGCAAGCCUGAUGCAGCCAUGCCGCGUGUAUGAAGAAGGCCUUCGGGUUGUAAAGUACUUUCAGUCGGGAGGAAGGUGGUAAGGUUAAUAACCUUAUCAAUUGACGUUACCGACAGAAGAAGCACCGGCUAACUCCGUGCCAGCAGCCGCGGUAAUACGGAGGGUGCAAGCGUUAAUCGGAAUUACUGGGCGUAAAGCGCACGCAGGCGGUUGAUUGAGUCAGAUGUGAAAUCCCCGGGCUUAACCCGGGAAUUGCAUCUGAUACUGGUCAGCUAGAGUCUUGUAGAGGGGGGUAGAAUUCCAUGUGUAGCGGUGAAAUGCGUAGAGAUGUGGAGGAAUACCGGUGGCGAAGGCGGCCCCCUGGACAAAGACUGACGCUCAGGUGCGAAAGCGUGGGGAGCAAA
RNAcentral lists this ribosomal RNA (410 nucleotides) under uncultured bacterium. Its description in RNAcentral is "bacterial SSU rRNA". It matches the Rfam family "Bacterial small subunit ribosomal RNA", at positions 370 to 772 of the family's 1533-position model. The record is from RNAcentral.